RNAcentral lists this unclassified non-coding RNA (210 nucleotides) under soil metagenome. Its description in RNAcentral is "partial contains 5.8S ribosomal RNA, internal transcribed spacer 2, and large subunit ribosomal RNA". The record is from RNAcentral.
AACCAUUCUCACCUGCGGCUAGACCUGCGGAGGGAUCAUUACCGAGUUAUACAACUCAUCAACCCCUGUGAACUUACCUACAACGUUGCUUCGGCGGGAACAGACGGCCCCGUAAAACGGGCCGCCCCCGCCAGAGGACCCCUAACUCUGUUUUUAUAAUGUUUUUCUGAGUAAACAAGCAAAUAAAUUAAAACUUUUAACAAUGGAUCU